RNAcentral lists this transfer RNA (72 nucleotides) under Agonostomus monticola (mountain mullet). RNAcentral describes it as "tRNA-Pro". It matches the Rfam family "tRNA". From Rfam's summary of the family: Transfer RNA (tRNA) molecules are approximately 80 nucleotides in length. Their secondary structure includes four short double-helical elements and three loops (D, anti-codon, and T loops). The record is from RNAcentral. Lineage: Eukaryota; Metazoa; Chordata; Actinopteri; Mugiliformes; Mugilidae.
CAGAGAGUAGUUUUAAGCAUAAAAUUUUGGCUUUGGGAGCCAGAGAUAGAGGUUAGAAUCCUUUCUCUUUGA